Zalophus californianus (California sea lion) is the source of this 258-nucleotide long non-coding RNA. RefSeq lists it as uncharacterized. The transcript has 3 exons. The record is from RefSeq and is a predicted model, not a curated record. Lineage: Eukaryota; Metazoa; Chordata; Mammalia; Carnivora; Otariidae.
CAUCAGUCGGCCUGGCAGUGGCCCACAAACUGCCAUUGUAUGAGCACUUGGCAGCAUCAAUGAGAUCGUUAGUACUUUCAUGGAUGCAAGUUUUAAAACAAUCUGCAACCAGGCUUCUACAGAAUAGAGUCGGGAUUUGAGUCUACAGCCUUACUGUGAGAGCCUAUGUGGACUCUGGCUCCAAGAAAAUCUGCUUGUGCUCACAGGAGAAAGACCCAAGUAUUUACAGAGGGGGAGGGGAAGGAAGCGGUCUGAGAA